Molecule: unclassified non-coding RNA, 229 nt
Filed under: plant metagenome
Description: partial contains small subunit ribosomal RNA, internal transcribed spacer 1, and 5.8S ribosomal RNA
Source: RNAcentral
UCUCCGUAGGUGAACCUGCGGAGGGAUCAUUACAAAGUUCAUGCCCUACCGGGUAGAUCUCCCACCCCAUGUUAUUAUUACUUUGUUGCUUUGGCGGGCCGUUAGGCUCCGGCCCGACUACCGGCCCCGGCUGGUAAGCGCCCGCCAGAGGACCCAAAACCCUGAAUAUUAGUGUCGUCUGAGUACUAUAUAAUAGUUAAAACUUUCAACAACGGAUCUCUUGGUUCUG